Molecule: non-coding RNA, 337 nt
Organism: Chelonoidis abingdonii (Abingdon island giant tortoise)
Lineage: Eukaryota; Metazoa; Chordata; Testudines; Testudinidae
Source: RefSeq, a predicted model, not a curated record
UCUGUUAUUUAGUUAGAGGGGAGUGCUCUGCAGCUCCCACUGUGGGAGGUCCACCCAAAAAUGUGGGGCUGAAAUAGUGCUCGGGCAGUGAUCCCCACCAGUGACCUGGGCCAUCCUUUGGGCUCUCUGGUGAGAACCCUCAGCCGCCUGUCCUCCGUAUCUACCUUGAUUGGCUGAGCAGAGGGUUAUUGACAGGGAAGAGACUCAGGUCUUUGUUGUUCUCUUUUAAGACCAAGUAAAUAAGUCAUAACCAGUCAUAUGUUUGACAAAUUUUGCUGCUUCUCUGCAUUAAUUGUCUCUGAGCAGUUCAUGAUUCUCUCUAACAUUCCAGUUCUCC